UGCAGUCGAGCGGAUGANGAAGAAGCUUGCUUCUUCUGAUUUUAGCGNNNNNNGGGUGAGUAACACGUGGGCAACCUACCUUGUAGAUUGGGAUAACUCCGGGAAACCGGGGCUAAUACCGAAUAAUCCAUUUUGCUUCAUGGCGAAAUGUUAAAAGGCGGCUUCGGCUGUCACUGCAAGAUGGGCCCGCGGCGCAUUAGCUAGUUGGUAAGGUAACGGCUUACCAAGGCGACGAUGCGUAGCCGACCUGAGAGGGUGAUCGGCCACACUGGGACUGAGACACGGCCCAGACUCCUACGGGAGGCAGCAGUAGGGAAUCUUCCACAAUGGACGAAAGUCUGAUGGAGCAACGCCGCGUGAGUGAAGAAGGUUUUCGGAUCGUAAAACUCUGUUGUAAGGGAAGAACACGUACGAGAGUAACUGCUCGUACCUUGACGGUACCUUAUUAGAAAGCCACGGCUAACUACGUGCCAGCAGCCGCGGUAAUACGUAGGUGGCAAGCGUUGUCCGGAAUUAUUGGGCGUAAAGCGCGCGCAGGCGGUCCUUUAAGUCUGAUGUGAAAGCCCACGGCUCNACCGUGGNGGGUCAUUGGNAAACUGGGGGACUUGAGUACAGAANANGAAAGCGGAAUUCCNAGUGUAGCGGCGAAAUG
Molecule: ribosomal RNA, 652 nt
Filed under: uncultured bacterium
Lineage: Bacteria
Description: bacterial SSU rRNA
Rfam family: Bacterial small subunit ribosomal RNA
Source: RNAcentral